Molecule: ribosomal RNA, 496 nt
Filed under: uncultured bacterium
Lineage: Bacteria
Description: partial 16S ribosomal RNA
Rfam family: Bacterial small subunit ribosomal RNA
Source: RNAcentral
GAUGAACGCUGGCGGCGUGCCUAAUACAUGCAAGUCGAGCGAACAGACGAGGGGCUUGCUCCUCUGACGUUAGCGGCGGACGGGUGAGUAACACGUGGAUAACCUACCUAUAAGACUGGGAUAACUUCGGGAAACCGGAGCUAAUACCGGAUAAUAUAUUGAACCGCAUGGUUCAAUAGUGAAAGACGGUUUUGCUGUCACUUAUAGAUGGAUCCGCGCCGCAUUAGCUAGUUGGUAAGGUAACGGCUUACCAAGGCAACGAUGCGUAGCCGACCUGAGAGGGUGAUCGGCCAAACGGAAAUUGGGAAACGGCCAGACGCCCAAGGGAGGGAGCAGUAGGGAAUCCUCCGGAAUGGGCGGAAGCCUGACGGAGCAAAGCCGCGUGAAGGAUGAAGGUCUUCGGAUCGGAAAACUCUGUUAAUAGGGAAGAACAAAUGUGUAAGGAACUAUGCACGGCUUGACGGUAACUAAUCAGAAAACCACGGCUAACUACGUG